GGAAACAGGUGCUAAUCCCGCAUAACAGGGGAUGACACAUGUCAUUUAUUUGAAAGGGGCAAUUGCUCCACUACAAGAUGGACCUGCGUUGUAUUAGCUAGUAGGAGAGGUAACGGCUCACCUAGGCGACGAUACAUAGCCGACCUGAGAGGGUGAUCGGCCACACUGGGAGUGAGACACGGCCCAGACUCCUACGGGAGGCAGCAGUAGGGAAUCUUCGGCAAUGGGGGCAACCCUGACCGAGCAACGCCGCGUGAGAGAAGAAGGUUUUCGGAUCGUAAAGCUCUGUUGUAAGUCAAGAACGAGUGUGAGAGUGGAAACUUCACACUGUGACGGUAGCUUACCAGAAAGGGACGGCUAACUA
This 364-nucleotide ribosomal RNA is filed under the name uncultured bacterium. RNAcentral's name for it is "bacterial SSU rRNA". It matches the Rfam family "Bacterial small subunit ribosomal RNA", at positions 152 to 503 of the family's 1533-position model. The record is from RNAcentral.